Molecule: transfer RNA, 71 nt
Filed under: Ictidomys tridecemlineatus (thirteen-lined ground squirrel)
Lineage: Eukaryota; Metazoa; Chordata; Mammalia; Rodentia; Sciuridae
Description: Spermophilus tridecemlineatus (thirteen-lined ground squirrel) tRNA
Rfam family: tRNA
About the family: Transfer RNA (tRNA) molecules are approximately 80 nucleotides in length. Their secondary structure includes four short double-helical elements and three loops (D, anti-codon, and T loops).
Source: Rfam by way of RNAcentral
GUGGAUAUAGCUCAGUAGUAGAGUGCUUGCCUAACAUGCACAGGACCCUGGUUUCAAUCCCCAGUACCACA